This 468-nucleotide ribosomal RNA is filed under the name uncultured bacterium. RNAcentral describes it as "partial 16S ribosomal RNA". It matches the Rfam family "Bacterial small subunit ribosomal RNA", at positions 28 to 507 of the family's 1533-position model. The record is from RNAcentral.
GACGAACGCUGGCGGCGUGCUUAACACAUGCAAGUCGAACGGAAAGGCCCUGCUUUUGUGGGGUGCUCGAGUGGCGAACGGGUGAGUAACACGUGAGUAACCUGCCCUUGACUUUGGGAUAACUUCAGGAAACUGGGGCUAACACCGGAUAGGAGCUCCUGCUGCAUGGUGGGGGUUGGAAAGUUUCGGCGGUUGGGGAUGGACUCGCGGCUUAUCAGCUUGUUGGUGGGGUAGUGGCUUACCAAGGCUUUGACGGGUAGCCGGCCUGAGAGGGUGACCGGCCACAUUGGGACUGAGAUACGGCACAGACUCCUACGGGAGGCAGCAGUGGGGAAGAUUGCACAAUGGGCGGAAGCCUGAUGCAGCAACGCAGCGUGCGGGAUGACGGCCUUCGGGUUGUAAACCGCUUUCGCCUGUGACGAAGCGUGAGUGACGGUAAUGGGUAAAGAAGCACCGGCUAACUACGUG